Molecule: long non-coding RNA, 489 nt
Organism: Poecile atricapillus (Black-capped chickadee)
Lineage: Eukaryota; Metazoa; Chordata; Aves; Passeriformes; Paridae
Exons: 3
Source: RefSeq, a predicted model, not a curated record
UUACUGCAUUUAAUGUUUUGGGAUAUUGGAACUGACACAGGUAUGGAAUUCUCAGCUAUGAUUUUUUUUUCCCUGCAGGGCAGCAUUUCAAGUUUCCCUGUAAAUCAGAGUUUGUGGUCUUGUUAUGGACCAUAUCCUAUGGACUGGCUCCAUUGGUAUUUGUGGAUCUAAAACAUUUGAUUUGGACCUUAAAUGAGUCACAUGAGUGUCACUGUUGGACACGAAAUGAGUCACACGGAUGCAGUUCGAGGUUUUUAAUCCAGGCUUCUGCUGGAAUGCAAAGUUCCUCGUUCAAGAUCAAUUAUACAAGGACAUCAAGAAGAAAAAGACAGUCACGGUAUUUAUCUGCUUCUCAAACUACCCAAGAUGUGAAACUGGUUUUGCUUGCAGUGACAUGCCUGAUAAUGCAAUGUAAUACUUUCUUAUUACAACCCUUUGCUUGCAGUUAAAAGUUAAAAUAAAAAAACUGUUUCUGAAACACAGCAUAUU